This 87-nucleotide transfer RNA is filed under the name Variovorax sp. RA8. RNAcentral's name for it is "tRNA-Cys". It matches the Rfam family "tRNA". Rfam says of the family: Transfer RNA (tRNA) molecules are approximately 80 nucleotides in length. The record is from RNAcentral. Lineage: Bacteria; Pseudomonadati; Pseudomonadota; Betaproteobacteria; Burkholderiales; Comamonadaceae.
GCCGCGAUAGCCAAGAGGUCGAAGGCGCCGGAUUGCAAACCCGGCGAGCAUUGCUCCACGUCGGUUCGAACCCGACUCGCGGCUCCA